This 126-nucleotide small nucleolar RNA is filed under the name Meriones unguiculatus (Mongolian gerbil). RNAcentral describes it as "Small nucleolar RNA SNORA17 (ENSMUGG00000017443.1)". It matches the Rfam family "Small nucleolar RNA SNORA17". From Rfam's summary of the family: snoRNA ACA 17 belongs to the H/ACA family of snoRNAs and is predicted to guide pseudouridylation of the 28S rRNA at positions U4659 and U4598. It shares the same host gene together with ACA43. NB This family has a high threshold value to exclude a large number of closely related sequences that do not appear to have conserved H and ACA boxes, and may be pseudogenes. Lineage: Eukaryota; Metazoa; Chordata; Mammalia; Rodentia; Muridae. The record is from RNAcentral.
CCUGCCCCUAGAGGCCUUGCGGUGAGGCUGCAUAUGCCAUUUACUGAAGUGGCAGAGAGGAGAGAAGCUAUGUCUUUGCUCAAUCUUCUGACCUAUGAACAUGUGAAUGAUUAGUAGUUUAACAUU